This 92-nucleotide transfer RNA is filed under the name Thermodesulfobium narugense. RNAcentral's name for it is "tRNA-Ser". It matches the Rfam family "tRNA". Rfam says of the family: Transfer RNA (tRNA) molecules are approximately 80 nucleotides in length. Their secondary structure includes four short double-helical elements and three loops (D, anti-codon, and T loops). The record is from RNAcentral. Lineage: Bacteria; Pseudomonadati; Thermodesulfobiota; Thermodesulfobiia; Thermodesulfobiales; Thermodesulfobiaceae.
GGAGAGAUGGCCGAGAGGUCGAAGGCGCUCCCCUGCUAAGGGAGUAAGCGGAUAAAACUGCUUCGAGGGUUCGAAUCCCUCUCUCUCCGCCA